Small nucleolar RNA from Neogale vison (American mink), 77 nucleotides. RefSeq annotates it as small nucleolar RNA SNORD81. The transcript has a single exon. The record is from RefSeq and is a predicted model, not a curated record. Lineage: Eukaryota; Metazoa; Chordata; Mammalia; Carnivora; Mustelidae.
CAGAACACAUGAUGAUCUCACUCCACCUUGAACUCUCUCACUGAUCACUUGAUGAUCAUAAAAGAUCUGAGGUUCUG